RNAcentral lists this ribosomal RNA (250 nucleotides) under uncultured bacterium. Its description in RNAcentral is "partial 16S ribosomal RNA". It matches the Rfam family "Bacterial small subunit ribosomal RNA", at positions 527 to 776 of the family's 1533-position model. The record is from RNAcentral.
GUAGGGUGCAAGCGUUAAUCGGAAUUACUGGGCGUAAAGCGUGCGCAGGCGGUUGUGCAAGACAGAGGUGAAAUCCCCGGGCUCAACCUGGGAAUUGCAUUUGUGACUGCACGGCUAGAGUGUGUCAGAGGGGGGUAGAAUUCCACGUGUAGCAGUGAAAUGCGUAGAGAUGUGGAGGAAUACCGAUGGCGAAGGCAGCCCCCUGGGAUAACACUGACGCUCAUGCACGAAAGCGUGGGGAGCAAACAGG